CAAAAUAAACAAGACUAGAUUGCAUAAAAAUACUUAAGAUUCAUACAAAAUCUCAAAGGAGAAAAAAGAAAUUCAAAACAAGUCUCCCCUCUUCUCUAAAACUAGGUUAUGAGUAUUUAUAUAAAAGGGGAAAACGAACCGGGUCAACCCGGAACAAACCGGGUUUAGAAAAGCAAUCGACCAGGCAAUCGACCACUUGGUCGAUUCAAAUCUUGUCCGUAGCUCUGAUCUAUAUCAAUCGACCGGGCAAUCGACCGGUCAAUCGACCAAGCAAUCGACCAA
RNAcentral lists this long non-coding RNA (282 nucleotides) under Arabidopsis lyrata. RNAcentral's name for it is "long non-coding RNA (ALYR_LNC000518)". The record is from RNAcentral. Lineage: Eukaryota; Viridiplantae; Streptophyta; Magnoliopsida; Brassicales; Brassicaceae.